Long non-coding RNA from Mytilus californianus (California mussel), 1804 nucleotides. RefSeq lists it as uncharacterized. Lineage: Eukaryota; Metazoa; Mollusca; Bivalvia; Mytilida; Mytilidae. The record is from RefSeq and is a predicted model, not a curated record. The transcript has 4 exons.
CCAAUUGGCCAACAUUCCAAGGGUGAAGUACAUGUAUGUACAAAAUGUGAGGAUGGACUUUUUGGAAGAAAGUGCAGUUUUACAUGCAACUGUAACCCAAAUGAGAGAUGUGACCAUGUAAAGGGAUGCGUUCCGAAAGACAUGAUAGACGUCAACACAAGGACUGUUGUACUUACUGAUAACAGGCAUAAUGCUAACGUCAAGGAAGCAGAAGGCAACAACGUUGUUAUUUACAUGACCUGUGUUGCAGUUGGAAGCGUUUUAGUUGUCGUAUUUGGUCUAAUUGUAAAGAACAAAGAGGCAAUAUGUCGACGAAAACCAAGCACCAAAGCAAUGAAAACUGAAAUAAAGAAGAGAAAGUGGUCCAAAUUUAGUUUUGGAAAAGGAAAUAUUAAAAAAGAAAGUUUGUAUGCCGAUAUCAAUGAGAAAUACAUGCUAAAUUUUGACGGGGAAUGAAUCAUAACGUUGGAAUAUAUUUUCAAGACAAUUAAUGUACACAUGUGUAUAUAUUAUUUUUUUGUUUUAUAGUUUUCCUUAUUAUUUUUUUUAUUUAUUCUUUUUAUUAAUUGUGUCGAUUCAAAAAGAUAGAUUUUUUUUGUUUUUGUUUUUUGCAUUAAACACACUUCUUAUUUAAAUGACAUACAGUUUUUUUUUAAGGCUGAACACAAACUGUUAUAUUGUACAGCUAUACAUGUUUUCCUUGUGACAGAACUGUCUACCGUCAGUUAUUAUUUAUCAAAUUUGAUCUAUUCCUUUAAAUGUAUUACCUUGUUGCUUAUUUCCACGUCAUGUGAAUGCGUGUAGCUGGUUGUAUCUUUAGCAAUCAUACCACAUCUCUUUAUUAGCUCGCCUGGCCCAAAGGGCAAAGUUAGUUUUUCCCAUCACUUGGCGUCGGCACCCGACGUCUUCCGUAAACUUUUUCAAAAAUAUUUUCAACUGAAAUUACUGGAUCAAAUUUAACCAAAUAUAGUCACAUUCAGCAUUAGGGUAUCAAAUCUUUAAAAAUUGUCCAAUGAUCCCGCCUGUCAACCAACUCGGCCGGCAUUGCUAAAAAUAGUCUAUUAUCAUGAAAACCGAUAUAAAUAGAGAAAAAGUGAGAAUGUCAAGACCUAUACUGACUGUCCAAUUUCAUUAUAACUGUCGGACGACUUUUCAUAGAGUUAUUGCCCUUAAAGACGGUGUUAACCAUUUAUUUUGGCGUUUUUGCCUAGUAACUUGAAAACUAUUUAAGAUAGAUAGACACUUUAUAUAGCAAUACAGAUCGGGAAGACAAGAUUAACUGAUAAGUCAACUUUUUUUCGGAAUUGUUAAUUGACUCUUUAUCAUGUUUAUAGGAGUUAUUUUCCUUUAAUAACAAUGUUCCCCUUUUUAUAGGGGUGUGGUUUUAUGUUGUACCUGAAAUGAUUGAGAAAUGACAUAAUUUAAGUCAGCAAAACGUCUCUAACCACUUUUUUGUAUACUAUUUAAUUUUCAAACACUGAAACAAGACAUGCAUACUGCCAGAUAACAAAAUUAUUUGGAUGUGAGUGGUUCACACAUUGUUCAGUUUUUUUAUUUUCAUUAGCUGUAUACACAUACUGCCCUUGGAUGAAGCUGUUAGGGUAGAUUAACACACGAGGGAAAAAAUCAUCACCGAAGACGAAGUUGCGGUUGAUAAUCUUUUCACCGAGUUUGUUAAUCACCCUAUCACCUUCAUCCAAGGGCAAUAUGUUUUUUUUUAUUAAACUGAAUGCUUUAUGAUUCAAGUGUGCACUACAUGUAUGUUAUUAGAAGGACAAUUGUAAAAAAUAAAGUCAUAAAUUAA